GAUGAAUCGAAGAAAUCGUUUGUUAUGGGUUUAUUAUUACAAAGAGUUUGGAGUUUUCUUCUUAAUCAAGGUUCAUCUAAAUUAUUUCACAAAAAGUUCAGCACAGUUUUGCCAAUUUCAAUUGACGGAGGAUAUGGCUGGGUUAUCGUUGCUAUCACUUUUAUUGGCGUUUUUACCGUUGAUGGAAUAGCAUAUACGUUUUAUAUAUUGAUGCCAGGUUUAAUUAAGGAUGGCCUGACUGAAAGCAACUGCGCUUUAUCUAUAGCAACGAUAAAUAGUUUAUCCAUGUUAAUUGCACCUCUCUCUAGCAGUUUGUGCAAUGCAAUCGGAUUCAGGACUGUUAUGAUAAUCGGUUCUGUCAUAUCCUGUUUGGGAUUUGCAAUGUCUUAUUUUGCCAUCACAUUAUUCGGUUUCUUGGGCUAUUAUUUCACUUUUGGGAUAUUAGGGGGAAUUGGCCUUGGGUUAAUGUACUUACCGAUGUCUGUAGCACCAAGUAUGUGGUUUGACACUAAAAGACCGUUAGCAGUUGGUAUUGCAACGUGUGGGACUGGUAUAGGAAUGAUAGUAAUUCCAUUUUUACUUGAAUACCUGACUACUUGUUUUCAUUACAGAACUUUGAACUUAGUCAUCGCUGCGUUGAUGUCCGUGAAUGUGAUUACUGCUGUUUUCUUACGACCAGCUCCUACUAUUGAAAUUGAAGUUGACAAUAAAAAUGAACCUGAAAAAGGAGUUACUGCUCGCAAGUUUAUUGGAAAUUUUCAGUUUAAAGUAAAAGAAACAGAUUCCAGUUUUAGCGCUUCGCAUUCCUUCAGACAAUUCAGGAGUAAAAGAACUAGCAAACUAAUGAGCAGAAGUACAAUAUCACUGUUGAAAUUGAAAGAGAAACGAUCUUAUUCUGUUAACAGCCAUUUCAAUGAAGAAGUAAGCCAUUGCAAAAAAUGUUGGCUUUGUUGUAAAUACACCUUUGGAUUUCAUCCAAAAGGAUAUCGGCCUAUGUACAAAGCAGACAUAUUUUAUAAUGGAAGCAUUUUAAGAUUCGACAAAAAUUUAUUGAAAAAAAAUGUGGAUACAAUAAUGGAUUAUUCUAUGCAUGUUUACUACCUACCAACAAAAAAAGAUGUCAAUGAACCAACAUGUAAAGUUUGCUGUCCAGAAUCUCUAGGUUGUAUGGUUCUUUAAGAAAUCUGCUUUUGGUUGAUUACAUUGGCCUUGAAAAUUUGACGCCAGCAACAGGAAUUUUGUUCACAAUUGCGGGAUUAAGCAAUUUGAUAGGGCCUCCUGUAGCAGUGGAAAUAACUGGAGGAGG
This 1306-nucleotide unclassified non-coding RNA is filed under the name Cimex lectularius (bed bug). RNAcentral's name for it is "monocarboxylate transporter 9-like, transcript variant X1". The record is from RNAcentral. Lineage: Eukaryota; Metazoa; Arthropoda; Insecta; Hemiptera; Cimicidae.